Molecule: ribosomal RNA, 492 nt
Filed under: uncultured bacterium
Lineage: Bacteria
Description: partial 16S ribosomal RNA
Rfam family: Bacterial small subunit ribosomal RNA
Source: RNAcentral
AGUGAACGCUGGCGGUAGGCCUAACACAUGCAAGUCGAACGGCAGCACAGUAAGAGCUUGCUCUUACGGGUGGCGAGUGGCGGACGGGUGAGGAAUACAUCGGAAUCUACUUUUUCGUGGGGGAUAACGUAGGGAAACCUACGCUAAUACCGCAUACGACCUACGGGUGAAAGCAGGGGAUCUUCGGACCUUGCGCGAUUGAAUGAGCCGAUGUCGGAUUAGCUAGUUGGCGGGGUAAAGGCCCACCAAGGCGGCGAUCCGUAGCUGGUCUGAGAGGAUGAUCGGCCACACUGGAACGGAGACACGGUCCAGACUCCUACGGGAGGCAGCAGUGGGGAAUAUUGGACAAUGGGCGCAAGCCUGAUCCAGCCAUACCGCGUGGGUGAAGGAGGCCUUCGGGUUGUAAAGCCCUUUUGUUGGGAAAGAAAAGCAGCAGGUUAAUACCCCGCUGUUCUGACGGUACCCAAAGAAUAAGCACCGGCUAACUUCGUG